Molecule: ribosomal RNA, 404 nt
Filed under: Pseudomonas sp. VC58
Lineage: Bacteria; Pseudomonadati; Pseudomonadota; Gammaproteobacteria; Pseudomonadales; Pseudomonadaceae
Description: bacterial SSU rRNA
Rfam family: Bacterial small subunit ribosomal RNA
Source: RNAcentral
AACGCGAAGAAAGUUACCUGACUUUAAUAUGUCCGGAACUUUGCAUAGAUGCGAGGGGCGCUUCGGGAUUCGGAACACAGGUGCUCCAUGGCCGUUGUCAGCUCGUGUCGUGAGAUGUUGGGUUAAGUCCCGUAACGAGCGCACACCUUUUCCUUAGUUACCAGCUCGUUAUGGUGGGCACUCUAAGGUGACUGCCGGUGACAAUCCGGAGGAAGGUGGGGAUGACGUCAAGUCUUCACGGCCCUUACGGCCAGGGCUACACCCUUGCUACAAUGGUCGGUACAGAGGGUUUUCAACCCGCGAGGGGGAGCUAAUCACAAAAAACCGAUCGUAGUCCGGAUCGCAGUCGCCAACUCGGCUGCGUGAAGUCGGAAUCGCUAGUAAUCGGAAUCAGAAUUACACGG